Homo sapiens (human) is the source of this 6484-nucleotide long non-coding RNA. RefSeq lists it as uncharacterized. The transcript is spliced from 3 exons. The record is from RefSeq and is a predicted model, not a curated record. Lineage: Eukaryota; Metazoa; Chordata; Mammalia; Primates; Hominidae.
UCCACAAGGGAGUAGGGCUCCCCCCAUUCUUUAAAAUAGAGCAGCUCAAAAAACUCCUCUGGCAAUUUUAACUACACAAGAAUAGAAAACACCCAGGCAGAGUGUGAGAGAUCAAUCUUGUAAACAGCAGGAUAAGCAAGGUGUAAACAAGAAUGGAAAGAAAAUAUACAGCCUUUUAAAAAAUCAUUGCUUUUGACAAGGACAAUAAGAUAGGAAUAAAUUCAGCCCCGAAUAGCAUGGAAAAACAAAAGCUCAGAGAAGUGUUAAAUCACAUGCCAGGUGGCUGCAGGAAUUCGCAAUAAUCCAUUCCAAUCUGCCAACCCGUCCCUUUUGGCAUCCGGCUUGAUUUUACACAGGCUCUUCUUCCAGUUUUAUGUGCUUGGGAGUUUGUGGGGAGGGUGUUGUUUGGUUUUUUUCUCGUCAAGCAGCAAACCCAGCAUUUUCAAGGCUGUUGCAACUUUCCUAAGUCACAUAUUUUUUCUCCUCUGACCCCACAAACAAUGUUGUUUUGGAGAACCACAAACCACAAUAUUUCCAUCUUUCAUUUCACGGAACCAUGUUCUUGCAUGCAGUAAAAAUAUGUUCACAUCCUUGUACUAAGUCUUAGUAAAUGCAUCAUAUGAUCACGGGUGUUAUUAGAAGACUUCAUGCAAUAAAACUCCUGCAUCUUCUACCCUUUCAAUAAUUCUACCAAAUAUUAAGCACUGAGCAUGUACUCAUACUCAUGACCUGAAGAUAACAGGAAUGAACUGUCAGAUCCCUGCUUUGAGGACCACAUAGUCCAAUGGAGGAGAGAGACUUAGAAAUAAACAGCUACAAUAAGGGAGGAAGCUACCUUUAUCCCUCAAGCUGUAAAGUGAUAAUGUGCAUGGGUUUAUUAAACAAAAAUUUAGGGAAGGUCAUUAUUUUGGAUUAGGCUCCUGCACUAGGCCCCAACAGACCAGACCAAAUCAAAAUGGAGUCACUUGUGCUAAGUGCCACAUCAUCACACUGAACUUUGAAAUGGGCCAGUUUUCCAAAAAUCAAGAGAUUCAUAGCAACCAAUCAGAAGAGGCCCAGUUUACCUGAGCCAACAUAAUAAAGAAGUCCCCUCUGUUUUAACUCUAUAAGGAAAGUGAUCUUUUUCAAGGUGGUCUUUGAAAUGACUGAUCUGCUUUUUGUUCCCUGUUUCUGCUUUCUUCAGCCUUUUACUGCCUAUAAGCCCCCUCUUGUUGAGCCCAUCAGAGCACCCAUUCUAUUUUAUAGAAUGAGAUGGUGCCUGAGUCUAAAAUUACAAAUAAAAGCCAAUUCAAUUUUUCGACCACAUUUGUUGUAAUUUUGUCUUUUGACAGGUUCCACUCAUACUUUUCAGCACUCCUCAGCAGGUUGCUUCCAAGAAUUGAUCAAAGGAUGAAGUAUCCACCCUGUGCAGGUACAGAUAUUGGACAACACUCAGUGCUUCCCAUGAAGCAAAGAAAUGCCCUCCUGUGAAGCCCUUCAGCCUCCUCCACCUUCAUCACUGCCUUGCUCCACACUCCUGUUCUCAGCCUCAGACUUCCACACUGCCUUCUUCAAGCUUACUGAUGGCGCAAGUGUCAUGCUAUUUACUAUAUGCCAAGAAUUGCAUAAAUUAUCUCAUAUACUAUCUCAUAUAAUUAUCUCAUUGAAUUUUCAUAACCACCUCAGAAUAGGCUUUGUUAUCCCAGUGUUAUUAAUAAAGAAAAUGAGCCUCUGAAAUUUUCAGAAACUUCUGAAAAGUUCAGAAACUUGCCCAAGGCUAAACAGCUAGUAUAGAGAAACUGAGGUGAGAACCCAGGAUUAUGUGAUUAGAACACCUCUUAAACAGUACAUUCAUCUUUCUCCAUGGGCAUGUUUAAUGUAACGCCCCUUAAGGUUAUUUACACCUUAAGAACAGAGAUUGACAUUUCCGUUUUUUAAUAGUUCCUAGACAGGGUAGACCCAUAGCAAGCAACGUAUGCAUCUACCUAUGUGAUGUGAUUUAAGGGAGGCUGGACAAGGAUGGGUUAAAAAUGUCUCCACUAUUGCCUAUCAUGGUGCCUAGAAUUUCACCAUUGGGAGUGCAUUAUUUUGGGUGUGAAGUCUUUCUAGUCUUCAGGAUCGCUCUCUUAGAACAUGAUUGCCCUAGGAGGGGCAAUCCUACACUGAGACCUCAGUGAGGAUAAAGAUGUCAGAGAAUGAGACACAGGAGAAAUGCCCAGAAAGGAGCUAGGGACCUCUGAGAUGGGAAAAGUGGUCCCAAGAAGAGGAUGGGAGGUUCUAGGACAGGUGUGGAAGUUUUGUUUUGCUGGCCCCAUCUCUGUGGCCCUGAGCACUGGGCAGGGCAAAUGGAAGGUAUGUAAGUUUUUAUUUGACUUGAGGAAACAGUGUUUUGAUCCGACAUGAGAGGAGGAGGUAUGAGGGAUGGUGGCAGGUGGGCAUUGAGUGCUGAGGUCGCCAGAAAAGGAGAGCUCAGAAUGAGAGGAGGUAAUUUUGGGGACACAGGGCCCCAAGAAUAGUACCAAAUAAAGAGAAAUAACAAAUGAGUUGGUGAAUGUCUGUCUUCCCAGACUGCCACAGCCACGUGCUACCUAGGUACUCCCUAAUAAGGAAAUCCAAUGUGGAUUUAAUCACCGUAAUACAGAAAGGAUGUUAGGAUGAUCUAGAAACAAAAUGGAAAGACAGAUAUAAUGUACAAAGAUACUAUUUAUAAAAUGCAUUACUUCAAAAUAAACCCAGCUCUUUUGACAAAAAGAUCUAGUGGUUGUUCUAUUCCCAUAAUAAAUAGAUCCAGAAUUUUGGUAAAAGGUGAGUGUACCAGAUUUCUAUAUUAAGGUACAUGGCAAAUAUAUCUGAUAAAACCACUAGGCAAACCUAAAUCCCUGGUGAAGCUCAGUUAAAACCAUGAGAAAGAGCUCUGAAGACCACCACAGGGCAACGACCCUGAGAAAUCCUAAGACUUUCCUAAGAAUUUAGCCCUGAUCAACAAUCACUUUGCUCUAUGACCUUCCAGCUAAAGAUAAAUGCACUUGCUCUGAGCUUUCACUGAAUGCCUCCUUCACAAACAGGAAAGGUUACUUCUAUUUACUCUAAUCUACUUCCUAUUUUCAAAAAAGACCCCUUUAUUUAAUUCCUACAAAGAAAACAACCCCAAGGAGGAAAGAAGGAAGCAGGUAAGCUCUGACCUUUAUCUGCUAAAUGAGUUAUUUUACCAAUAGUACAGGUGAUCCUGUUCUCACAAUGCUGAAUAACAAUUCUUUGUACCCCUUGGCAUAAGAGGAACCAGUAGCUACAGCCUAAGGCUUAUUGUGAAUGAGUAGAGAAAAGAAAAAUAUAGGCAUGUAGAGACUUGAAAAAAAAAAGAGGAGAAGGGGGGAGAAGGAGAAGGGGGCCACAGGAAAUCCUUCCUCUUAUGAAUUUCUCUUUUCUUUUUUUUCUUUUCUUUUUUUUUUUUUUGAGACAGAGUCUCACUCUGUCGCCCAGGUUGGAGUGCAAUGGCGCGAUCUCGGCUCACUGCAACCUCUGCCUCCUGGAUUCAAGUGAUCCUCCCACUUCAGGCUCCCUAGUACCUGAGACUGCAGGCAGACACCACCAUGCCCGGCGAAUUUUUGUAUUUUCAGUAGAGAUGGGGUUUCGCCAUGUUGGCCAGGCUGGUCUCGAACUCCUGACCACAAGUGAUCUGCCACCUCGGCCUCCCAAAGCGCUGGGAUUACAGCAGGCUGCAAUGGGAGUUUCUCCUGCAGACGUUGAAGGCAUAAGCUGCCAUGUUGUGACAAGCCUGUGAGAUGCCACAUGGGAAGAAGCUGUGGGUGAUUCCUAGGACAUGAGAGUGACCCAGGUGACUUCCAGAAAUAAAGUGGGGACCUCAGUCCUACAAUCUCAGCUGGAUUCUGCCAACAACUGCAUGAGCUUAGAAGAAAAAACUCAAGCUCCAGACAAGAACACAGCACAGUCAAGAUCUUGAUGACACCUUUCCAAGACCAUAAGCAGAGGCCCAAGCUGUACUCAGACUCCUGACCCAAGAAGAUGGAACACAAUACUCAUUGUUUUAAGUCACUAUAUUUGUGGCAAUUUGUUAUGUAGCAAUACAUAACUAACACAUGUCAUAAUCCACUUUGAACUCAAAUAACAGCCAUUCUUGAAAAAAAGCUCUGAUUUGCCAAUUAUUAUUUUCUUUUGGCUGUUGAGGAUAACAGAAAUCUAGCAGAAUGCUUUAUACAUGUGUAUACCUUUAUCCAAUUCAAAACUUGAAUGCAGAAAAUCAUUCUCCAUGAGUGAGUCUUGAAACACAAAUGAAUCAGACUCAACAUUUUUCAAAAUAUCAAAAUUCUUUUAUUUUGUUACUUAAAAAUUGGAAGGUAUACCUCCAAACCAGUUUUUUUGUUUGUUUUCAUUUUUGUUGUUUUUGGUUUUGGUGUGUCUACUUAACUGUUUUGUUUUGCUUGUUUUGGGACAGAGUUUCGCUCUUGUUGCCCAGGCUGGAGUGCAAGGGCACAAUCUCGGCUCACCACAACCUCCGCCUCCUGGAUUCAAGCAACUCUCCUGCCUUAGCCUCCUGAGUAGCUGGGAUUACAGGCAUGCACCACCACGCCCAGCUAAUUUUGUAUUUUUAGUAGAGAUGGGGCUUCUCCAUGUUGGCCAGGCUGGUCUCAAACUCCCAACCUCACGUGAUCUGCCUGCCUUGGCCUCCCAAAGUGCUAGGAUUACAGGAGUGAGACACUGCGCCUGGCCUACUUAACUGUUUUUCAAAUAAAUGGUUUAUUUUCAAAGUUUUAGAUUUACAGGAUUAUAAAGAUAAUACAGAAAGUUCUUGUAUACCCCAUACCCAGUUUUCCCAAAUAUUAACAUCUUACAUUAGCAUGGUACAUUUAUCACAUUUGAUGAACCAAUGUUGAUACAUUAUUGUGAACUAAACUCCAUACUUUAAUCAAACUUUCUUAGUUUUUACCUAACAUCCUAUUUUUGGUCCAGGAUCCCACAUUACAUUGAGUCAUCAUGUCUCCUUAGGCUUCUCUUGAUUGUGACUAUCUCUCAGACUUGAGUUGUUUCUGAUGACCUUCACAGCUUUGAGGGGUACUAGUCAGAUAUUUUGUAGCAUGUCGCUCUACUGGAAUUUGUCUUAUGCUUUUCUCAUAAUUAGACUUAGAUCAAGUAUUUUGGGGAGGAAGAUUACAAAGGCAAAGUGCCCUUCUCAUCACAUCAUGUCAAGGGUACCUACUACCAAUGUGACCUGCCACUGCUGAUUUAACCUUAAUCACCUGGCUUGAGAUAGUGUUUGCUUGGGUUUCUCCAUUGUGAAGUUACUUUUUCCCCUCCCUUUCUUUACUAUACUCUUUGAAAGAAAGUCAUUCUGUGCAGCCCCCAGGGAGGGUUAUGCUUUACCCCCUGAAAGGCAGAGUAUCUUACAUACAUUAUUUGGAAUUCUUCUACAUUCUCUUCAUUUAUUUAUUCAUCAUGUAUUUAUAUCAGUAUAGAUAUGUAUUUUGUACUUUAAGUGAUAUCCUAAUUCUAACUUCCUUUCUUUGCUCAAAUUUUCCAUCUUUGGACAUUGAAAGUACUUUCGAUUGGGUCCUGUAUUCUUUUCACAUACAACCAUCAUUGCGGAUUUUUAUUUUUUGCACUUCUUUACUUUAUAGCACUACAAGAUGCUCCAGGCUCAUCUUGUAUAUUUGCUGCCACAGUCUUAAAUCAGUCAUUUCUCCAAGGAACCCUGGUUCAUUUCAUUGGAAAACAGUAUUAGAAACCAAGAUCUGGGAAACAGGUAUGUAUUGUUUGCUUCCAGACCAAACCAGUUUCUCAAUCUCUAAAUAUGGGAUCUUGGAAUGUCCCUGUAUUCUUAAUUUAUUUUAAUUUAUUUGACAAACAUUUUUGCAGUGAUUACCAUGUGCCAGUCACUCUUUUAAGCACUUUGAAAAUAUUAACUCAUUUAAUCCUUGUAAUAAUCUCAUAACAACAAAAUAUGGUAUUAGUCCCAUUUUAUGGACAAAAAAAACAAGAAACAGAUAUUUGGAUGUGUUCCAUAGUCACCCAGAUAGUAACUAACAGAGCCAAAAUUGAACCCAAGUAUCUGGAUCCAUAUUUGGAGCUAACCACAUUGGAGUUAGAUUUGGAGCUAACUCCUACAUUGCCUUGCAGUGGUGAGGACCUUGCAGAGCUGCCACACAAAUUGAUGAAUUAAUUCACCCACACGUUCAUUCUCUAAUACAAAUCUGUUAUGUGCCCAUUAGGUGCCAGACUAUCUGAUAUCUGUUAAUUGGUGCUUAAUGCCAUUUGAGAUACCUCUUGGAAUAUGACCCAAUUUAACAUAAAGGAGGAUGCUGUUGUAAUGUACCCCUUGAGAAGACUCUGGCAGCUGCCUGGGAUGAAGAUGUCAUAUAAAAACUACUCCACUGAGUGGUUGCAAAUAUACUUUAUUAUGCUUGAGGACACAAGAAGAAGCACCAUGUUGGAGGCAGACAGCAGCCCUCACCAGACACAUUUGCUGGCAUCUUGAUCUUGGACUUUCCAG